UAGUUGAAUUAUAGAGAAUGUUGCAUAUGAACAUGAAAUGUAUUAAAUUGAUAAUUAAAUUUAUUUAUUUAGAUCCAGAAGAUUCAAAUACGAAGCUAGAUCGAGGAAAGGAAAAAGUUCAGGAUUAGUAGAUUUUUACUGUUUACAAACAAGUAUCAAGUGUUAAGAGCUCGGAGGUCGGAUUUGGUCGGAGACACAUCACACUGUCAACCUCAGGAUUUCGGUAUAUAAAGAAACUUUAUUUUGGAAAUCAAUGGCAUGUAUAAGCUAACAAAGUAAAUGUUAACGUGAAAUGAAUGUAAAGUUAGCCAUUAGUAUGGUUAACAAACCUGGUUAUAGAUAUGUGAUGACGUUAUCUUAUAUAAAUGCAUGAAUCUAUCAUGAAAAUA
Molecule: long non-coding RNA, 389 nt
Organism: Gossypium arboreum
Lineage: Eukaryota; Viridiplantae; Streptophyta; Magnoliopsida; Malvales; Malvaceae
Exons: 2
Source: RefSeq, a predicted model, not a curated record